Long non-coding RNA from Zophobas morio, 316 nucleotides. RefSeq lists it as uncharacterized. The transcript has 3 exons. NCBI's taxonomy places the organism in Eukaryota, Metazoa, Arthropoda, Insecta, Coleoptera, Tenebrionidae. The record is from RefSeq and is a predicted model, not a curated record.
GAAAAAAAGGAACUUUCUGUAGAAGAAAGUCGUAAGAAUUCCUUAAGGAGCAAUAAAGAUGGAGAGUAUACGAUGUCCCGUGGUAUCGACUUUUUGGAUGUGGAAUGGGUUAUUAACUUUGACUUUCCAACGCACGCCAACGCCUAUAUACACCGCGUGGGUCGUACAGCACGUGCAGGAAAGCAUGGAAAUUCUUUAUCUUUUUUAUCGAAAGAAGAAGAUAAAGAAGUUCUGAAUAAUAUUGAAACAUUGUUAAACGCACAUGAAGGAGGCGUUCUUCAGCCUUAUAAAUUUCCUUUUGCCAAAGUUGAGCGCU